RNAcentral lists this ribosomal RNA (1353 nucleotides) under metagenome. Its description in RNAcentral is "bacterial LSU rRNA". It matches the Rfam family "Bacterial large subunit ribosomal RNA", at positions 1500 to 2870 of the family's 2925-position model. The record is from RNAcentral.
CAAAUACCGUGUAUAAGUACGAAGACGUAGAUUCGGUAGGCAAAUCCGCCGAUGAGUUGAUGUACGAAAGUAGUCCAAAGCUACGGCAGCGGACAGUGAAGGGUAGCAUACUUCCAAGAAAAGCCUCUAAGCUAUAGCUAUAUACAACCCGUACCGCAAACCGACACAGGUGGGCGAGGAGAGUAUCCUCAGGCGCUCGAGUGAUUCGUGGCUAAGGAACUAGGCAAAAUAACCCCGUAACUUCGGGAGAAGGGGUGCUUCCCGCGUGAGCGGAAGCCGCAGUGAAGAGGUCCAGGCGACUGUUUAACAAAAACACAGGACUCUGCUAAAUUGAAAGAUGAAGUAUAGGGUCUGACACCUGCCCGUGCUGGAAGGUUAAGGAAGGUUGUUAGGGGCAACUCGAAGCAAUUAACUGAAGCCCCAGUAAACGGCGGCCGUAACGAUAACGGUCCUAAGGUAGCGAAAUUCCUUGUCGGGUAAGUUCCGACCUGCACGAAUGGUGUAACGAUCUGGACACUGUCUCAGCCACGAGCUCGGUGAAAUUGAAGCAUCGGUGAAGAUACCGAUUACCCGCCACGGGACGAAAAGACCCCGUGAACCUUUACUAUAGCUUUGCAUUUUUUGAGUAAAUAAUGUGUAGGAUAGGUGGGAGACUGUGAAGCGGGUACGCUAGUAUUCGUGGAGUCAUCGUUGAAAUACCACCCUUUAUUUGCUUAGAAUCUAACCCCUACUUGGGAGACAGUGCAUGGUGGGUAGUUUGACUGGGGUGGUCGCCUCCAAAAGAGUAACGGAGGCUUCCAAAGGUACCCUCCGCACGCUUGGUAACCGUGCAAAGAGUGUAUUAGCAGAAGGGUGCUUGACUGAGAGAUCGACGGAUCGAACAGGUACGAAAGUAGGGUAAAGUGAUCCGGUGGUUCCGCAUGGAAGGGCCAUCGCUCAAAGGAUAAAAGGUACUCCCGGAUAACAGGCUGAUCGCGCCCAAGAGCUCAUAUCGACGGCGCGGUUUGGCACCUCGAUGUCGGCUCGUCGCAUCCUGGGGCUGGAGAAGGUCCCAAGGGUUGGGCUGUUCGCCCAUUAAAGCGGCACGCGAGCUGGGUUCAGAACGUCGCAAGACAGUUCGGUCUCUAUCUGUGGUGGGCCAGGAAUAUUGAGGAGAGCUGCUACUAGUACGAGAGGACCGUAGUGGACGUACCGCUAGUGUAUCGGUUGUGCCGCCAGGUGCAGCGCCGAGUAGCUAUGUACGGAACGGAUAAGCGCUGAAAGCAUCUAAGCACGAAGCCAACUUCAAGAUGAGUAUUCCAGUCGUAAGACGAAGGGUCGUGGGAGACUACCACGUUGAUAGGCUAUAGGUGG